GCGGUGGUGAGCCCUGGAGGACCCAGGGUCAGCCCUCAGCGGAAGCGAGCUGGCGCGCUCCCCUGGGACUUGCCGUGGACAGGGAGACCCUGCAACAGGUGAUACCCGCGCUCUUAGCGAAGCCAGAUCGCUCGGGAAGCCGGCCGCAGGGCCACUUCUUCCCGGGACUGAGGCGACCUGGCCAGCGGAGGGCAAAGGCUGAUUCGCUUGACCUUUUGGGACCUCUGUCUCUCCCCAUCCUUAUUACAUCGAGGGAGGUGAGACAGAGGCUGAGGUCACUGCCAGCGCUGACGCUCGAGCGACCCCCGUUCUCAGGGCCUCUGCACAGGGGCGGCUGGGAGAAGUGGGCUCGGAGGACCAAAGGGGCCUGGCGUGGCCAGAGGCGGGAGGAGCAGCGGGGGACGCGCUGAAACAAGACGAUGUCAGAGAACCCAAAAUCGAAUGAAACAGACACACGAUUGGGUUCGAGGAGAACCAGCUAAAAGGCCCCUGGGUCAGCUCCAGGGCGCAGGCUGCGGUGUAGGGUCCCACGAAGGGCCAGCCUCCAGGUAACAUCGAAGACCCCUCGGACUAGCCAGGCCUUGAGCCUCAAGGGAGACCCCAGCUCCCCACCAGCUUGUCUGAACCCAGAGGAGCCCUGGAUCUGGGGUACAAGUGGCCCUAGAUCUGGGGGUCUGAGCACCUCCAAAGGCGGACUGGUGGGCUCUGAGAAUUUAGCACUCAGUGACCUGUCUUGGAACGGUGCUAGAAGAUGCACCUCACGGUGGCUCCUGGGAGUAGGACGGCUCCGGUGCGCCUACGUCUCUGGGAAGGCUGCCCAGGGCAGACCUUGGAGGGUAAGACCAGGAUGUGGCAGUGGUGUCUGUGCUCCCCAUCACACCCCAGCAGCAUCGGCAGCGGAUGGAGACCGUCCUCUGGCAGAAACGUCCUUGAGCCCAGGUCCUGCCAGGCAUCUCCCUGCUGUGUGCUUGGCACCUCAACCAGAUCCGGGAGGCCCACCAGUGAGCAGAGAUGGGCUGACCAAAGCUGGGUGAGGGAGCCUGUGCUUGGAUCGGGGACCUGGGGCCUCAGACCUGGGGGAGAGAUGUCCCAGGGGAAGAGCUGGCCCCCUUUCCUGGCGGAGCUCAACAACUCCACACCUGGCAGCUCCCUGUGCACCCAUCACAGGCCACAGAUGGGUCCCAGCAAGCGGAUGUGUGCUCCACUGUACAGCUCCCACAAAGCUGGGGGUUCCUCUUGGGCAUGCAUGGGAGAACACAGUAGACAAAGGGCCCCCCUGCAGGACUGGGGAGCUGCCCUGCUGCCUGUGGGGUGGGGCCAAAUCUCAAGGGGUCAAAGAGAAUGAAGUGCUGACUGUACCCUUCAUGCUGGGACAGCAGACCUUCAGCAGGAACUGCUGGCAUGCCAGGCCCUGGCCAAGCACCUUAGAGCCGCCUGCUGCCUGUCGCUACUUAUACGAAAGUUAAAACUCAAGAACGUUAGCUAAAACUAAAAGCCGAGGUCCUCAGCUGCACUGACCGCAUGUCAGGGGCAUGGGAGGGAAUGUGGCCAGUGGCUAUGGCAGUGAGAAGUCCAGGCUCAGAGCAUGCAGUGGGCAGUCCGGCCGGUCAGUGUUGCUCUGCAUGCGUGCUCAUUUGAUCAACAAGGAUGGAUCCCAUGCCAAGGGCUGAGGCCUGUGCCAGGUGCUGGCAACCCAGCAGUGAUCACCCUCUUCUACUCUACUGUGGAGAGGCAUAUAAUGAGUCAGAUGAUAGAUAAAUACAUGAUAGAUAAUAAAUAGAUUGAUAGAUCAAUGAUGGAUAGAUAGGCCCAUAGAUGAUUAGAUAGAUAGAAGAUCGAUAAUUCAGAUGGACAGAUGAGUAGAUCAGUAGCUAGGAAGAUCAAUAGACAAUAGAUGGGGGAUAUAGAGAAACCCUGCCACAGAACACUUAGAUCUGGGAAGAGUGGUCGGGGGUCAGAGUGAGUGUCUCUGGGGCAGUGGCAACUGCACCAUCCCAGAAGGUGGUGAGGGGCCUGUUCUGUGCAGGCUUGGUAUGGGGCAUGUCAGGAGGUCAGCAGUGUGAUGAGCGAGGCCUGGGGGAGGUGUGUGUUGGACCACAGGGAAGCAGAGUGGACACACACGUCAGGGCCCCACAGUGGGGUCGCUCAGGCUGCAGCCCUGAGAUUGGACCGCAGAGCCAGCACAGGAGCAGGAAGCCGGGGAGGCUCCAGCCAGCCCUGCAGGAACUGCUGGCAGGCCUCCCAACAUGCAUGAUGCGCACGUGCAUGAGAGGCUGAGAGCCAGAUGGCCUGAGGCUGGGCUGCCCUUGCUUGGCUCAGACAGGAGCUCCAGCGAGGGAUGUGUGAAGUGCAGCAUUGGUCAUCCACAUCAAGGUUGGGGUGAGGAAGGACAGACAUUGGCAUGGCAAAUUAGAACCAGCAGCAGUCCCCAUAUCACAAAGUCAGCCCUGGAUUCCAGAGACCAAGGAAACCAGCAGCAAGAUAGAAAGUGCAGCCUACCACAGCCACAGAAUCCAGCCAACAAGACAGGCCAUGCACCCAACCACAGCCACAGAACCCAGCCAGCACCCAAGAGGCCUGCACCUAGCCACCCCAAGGUGGCAGGGAGAGGCCACAGGAGCCUUGCAUGUCCAUCUGCAGAAGCACCUGCUCUGAGAAACCUUGUCCUCAGAUUCUUAGGACCAGGGACAUCGUUGUCAGAAACCACCCAGUGGCACAACCCAUUCUUGCCUGAAAAGUCCAAGCCCCAUGCAUCACUCUGACAUAGACAAGCAGCAUCGGUUUCCAAGCCUAGUGUGCCCUCAGAUCCCCAACCCCAGCUGUGCACGCCUUGCCAAAGCCCCAAUACGUGGAGGAGGUGAACCUGGGUUGAGUGCAAUGGGUUGAGAUUACUGACCAGCUGACUUUGAGAAGGCUGAGUGUCCAAGUGGGUCUCAUUCAAUCACGUGAUCUGGUAGCUGGGACUAGUCCUCUGAGGGGUCACAGAGAGUGGAGGCAUGUGAGUGGCCAGGAGGGCCAAGACAUGAGGACAGUUCUUCACUGCUGAGAGCAGUGAGACAACAGGCACCUCAGGCUUGAAUUACAAGGAUGCUGUCUCUGCCAGUGAUGCAGGGGGGUUCGGGGCAGCUCCUUCCCCAGUCCAGCUCCCAGAAGAGGACACAGCCUGCCUGCCCCCUUGGUUCUGCCUGAUGAGACCCAGGGCAGAGACUGGUGUGAUGCACCAGCUUUGCUGUGCUGAUUUGUGGCAUGUGGACAGAAAACUGACACAUCUGUGCUGAGCUUCAGUCGAGAGGCUCCACACUUGACUGUCCAUGUGUUGAUUUUUGUGUAGCGUUCCAAUAGGCAGAAGUCAAGGGAACAGCAUUUCUCCCCAGGCUGCCCUGAGCACUCCGUCCUCCAGCCCUCACUCUUCCCCACCUCCACAAAGACCACCAGGGCCCCAGUUACUGAUGGCCCAUGACCCAGAGCUGACCUCUGCCUCGCAGCUGCUCUCAGGAUCACCCAGCAGAGCACCAGGCCCUGAUGCCCCUUGGGUGCUCUGCAGCAGGCAGCGAGUGACCUCAGUGAGGUCCUGCAAUGGGGUUGAUCUCAGCAGUCUUACCAACUGGGUUCAUCAUCAGGUAGGAGGAACACUUCCAUCAUCCAAACCUGCCCCUGGAGCACAGAUACCAGUUGUGGACCCUGACCCCUGCUUCUGGUGUACAUAGGUAAACCUAUCUCAGGCCACCUGAGAGCUCUGGGUGGGGAGAACAUGAACAGGUGUGGACAACCUGGGGC
This 3777-nucleotide long non-coding RNA is filed under the name Mustela putorius furo (domestic ferret). Its description in RNAcentral is "lncRNA (ENSMPUG00000031456.1)". The record is from RNAcentral. Lineage: Eukaryota; Metazoa; Chordata; Mammalia; Carnivora; Mustelidae.